Molecule: long non-coding RNA, 396 nt
Filed under: Oryza sativa tropical japonica subgroup
Lineage: Eukaryota; Viridiplantae; Streptophyta; Magnoliopsida; Poales; Poaceae
Also listed under: 1 other name
Description: lncRNA OsCMeo_06g0011150
Source: RNAcentral
AAGAGCUCAGUUCUAAGAUUGUUUGCGCGCAGGCACCACUACUAUUCUUUCUUUUCUUGUUAUGCAUCCGGUCCUAUAAAUCUUUUUUUUCUGACCAGAGGAAGAGAAAAAGAGAGAAAUGUCGAUAAGUUAAUUCCUGUGGAUGUCUACUUGCCGGGCUGCCCACCUAAACCGGAGGCGCGGAUCACGCGAAGAUCUAUAGUGUUUAAGUCCAUCUUUCUCUUCCUGCAAGCUACUGAGAUAUGCCUCAGCUGCAGAUCUUCCUCCCCAACAAGCAACGGGUUGAGCCCGGAAGAAGCAGGGAUUGAACCAGGGCUUGUUGACAGAGCAGAUAUCAAAAGCCUAUGUUAUCUCAUUUUUAGGGACCGAGCAAGGGAUGAGCGCCCUCUGAUCUAA